RNAcentral lists this ribosomal RNA (205 nucleotides) under uncultured bacterium. RNAcentral describes it as "partial 16S ribosomal RNA". It matches the Rfam family "Bacterial small subunit ribosomal RNA", at positions 1297 to 1500 of the family's 1533-position model. The record is from RNAcentral.
AUUGCAGUCUGCAACUCGACUGCAUGAAGCCGGAAUCGCUAGUAAUCGCGGAUCAGAAUGCCGCGGUGAAUACGUUCCCGGGUCUUGUANACACCGCCCGUCACACCAUGGGAGUCGGAAAUGCCCGAAGCCGGUGGCCUAACCGAUAAGGGAGGAGCCGUCGAAGGCAGGUCUGAUGACUGGGGUGAAGUCGUAACAAGGUAAC